This 28-nucleotide small RNA is filed under the name Bombyx mori (domestic silkworm). RNAcentral's name for it is "ovarian small RNA-6833". The record is from RNAcentral. Lineage: Eukaryota; Metazoa; Arthropoda; Insecta; Lepidoptera; Bombycidae.
UCACAGCACUUAAAGCUUAUGAUGACCC